CUUUUCCCAGUAUAUUAACAAAUAUCUUGUGGCUCCUCUGGCAUCCUCUUUUUCCUGAAGGAGAAGUCUGGUCACAACCCUUUGGCUUUCCUGGUUUGUGCAUGUCGAGUACUUGAAAAGGUGCUAUGUGGUUUGGGUGGUAGCAGGUAACAACCUCCAGGCACGUCGCAAGGCUGAGCAGUCAGAUGAAGUAGCAAAUGAGCAACGUGGGAACGGGAGUAUUUUCAUAGAUUUGUCUUCUGACAGCAGUAGAAUUGUGUGUAGGAGUUAAUCUUUAGCUCUUCUUUCCAGAAGCAUUUGUAGAAGUUUGACAUUUCUGCAAUUAUUUUUUAAUGUAUGAUAACAAGCUCCUUUGUGUCCAUAGAUACGUGUGUUGCUGCACGACCCGGCAGUGUCCCCGGCGGCACGGCCCGCGUUGCCAGGGCAGCAGCGGCGCAGCGCCGAGGAGCGGCCGCCAUGAGCAGGAAGCGGCUGCAGCAGCUGACGGAGUCGCUGGGCCGCUCCGCCAGGCACUUUAACAAAAGUGAGGUGGAAUGUCUGAUCAAGCUCUUCGACUCGCUGGUGGCCAAGUCCAGCUCCAGCAACCACCAUGCUGUGGUUGGCUUAGACCAUGACAUGUUCCGAGACACCCUGCACAGCGCCUUCGGCCUGACUGAUGACAUGAUGAUGGACAGAGUCUUCCGCAUAUUUGAUACCGCCUGCGAUAACUGCAUCAGUGUGGUGGAAUGGGUGGAAGGCUUGUCAGUAUUUCUUCGGGGGACACUGGACGAAAGGAUUAAAUUCUGUUUUGAGGUUUAUGACCUGAAUGGUGAUGGAUACAUUUCAAGAGAGGAAAUGUUUCAGAUGCUGAAAAACAGCCUUCUCAAGCAACCAGCAGAAGAUCAUCCUGAUGAGGGAAUUAAGGACUUGGUAGACAUAGCACUGAAGAAAAUGCUGGAAGGUCCCUCUGAGCCUAGUCUCACACAGAAAGCAAGCUCCGGCUCAGCAAUUUGUCCGUCUUUGGAGCAUGUACAUGCUCAGCUUUCCUGCAGGUUGCAGCCAAAAUGGAUACCCUCAUGUCUGGCCAGCUGCUAGGUGGGCUGUGCUAGUCCACGCACAAGCAUAAUAAAAUCUCCAUAUAUGUAAGAAUGACCAUGAUGAAGAUGGCAAGCUUUCUUUUGCAGACUUUGAAAAAGCAGUCAGAGAUGAAAAUCUUCUCUUGGAAGCCUUUGGACCAUGUUUGCCAGACUUAAAGAGCAGUAUGGCAUUUGAACAGAAAACUUUCCGCAAAAUCCAUGAACUGUCAUUCCACGUGGAACACUAGUGUAAGAGUUUUUUCUUCACCAUUGUUCAUGGUACAAUAAAGAACAGAGCAACUUGAA
Molecule: RNA transcript, 1361 nt
Organism: Columba livia (rock pigeon)
Lineage: Eukaryota; Metazoa; Chordata; Aves; Columbiformes; Columbidae
Gene: CLXN
Gene name: calaxin
Exons: 7
Source: RefSeq, a predicted model, not a curated record